This 68-nucleotide transfer RNA is filed under the name Arborophila atrogularis. RNAcentral's name for it is "tRNA-Phe". It matches the Rfam family "tRNA". From Rfam's summary of the family: Transfer RNA (tRNA) molecules are approximately 80 nucleotides in length. The record is from RNAcentral. Lineage: Eukaryota; Metazoa; Chordata; Aves; Galliformes; Phasianidae.
GCCCCCAUAGCUUAACCCCAAAGCAUGGCACUGAAGAUGCCAAGACGGUGUCAACCCACCUGCGGGCA